This 477-nucleotide ribosomal RNA is filed under the name uncultured bacterium. RNAcentral describes it as "partial 16S ribosomal RNA". It matches the Rfam family "Bacterial small subunit ribosomal RNA", at positions 28 to 507 of the family's 1533-position model. The record is from RNAcentral.
GAUGAACGCUGGCGGCGUGCCUAAUACAUGCAAGUCGAGCGAACAGACGAGGAGCUUGCUCCUCUGACGUUAGCGGCGGACGGGAGAGUAACACGUGGAUAACCUACCUAUAAGAAUGGGAUAACUUCGGGAAACCGAAGCGAAAACCGGAUAAUAUAUUGAACCGCAGGGUUGAAUAGUGAAAGACGGUUUUGCUGUCACUUAUAGAUGGAUCCGCGGCGCAGCAGCUAGUUGGCGAGGUGACGGCCUACCAAGGCGACGAUGGGUAGCCGACCUGAGAGGGCGACCGGCCCCCCUGCGCCUGGGGCACGGCCCAGACUGCUUCGGUCGGCAGCGGUGGGGAAUAUUGCGGAACGGGCGGAAGCCUGAUGCAGCGAUGCCGCGUGCGAAAUCACUGCUUUCGGGUUGUAAACAUCUUUCAGCAUGGCCGAACCGUAAGUGACGUUACCUGCAGAAAAAGCGCCGGCCAACUACGUG